Molecule: ribosomal RNA, 429 nt
Filed under: Chloroflexota bacterium
Lineage: Bacteria; Bacillati; Chloroflexota
Description: Chloroflexi bacterium partial 16S ribosomal RNA
Rfam family: Bacterial small subunit ribosomal RNA
Source: RNAcentral
UGGGGAAUAUUGCACAAUGGGCGCAAGCCUGAUGCAGCCAUGCCGCGUGUAUGAAGAAGGCCUUCGGGUUGUAAAGUACUUUCAGCGGGGAGGAAGGGAGUAAAGUUAAUACCUUUGCUCAUUGACGUUACCCGCAGAAGAAGCACCGGCUAACUCCGUGCCAGCAGCCGCGGUAAUACGGAGGGUGCAAGCGUUAAUCGGAAUUACUGGGCGUAAAGCGCACGCAGGCGGUUUGUUAAGUCAGAUGUGAAAUCCCCGGGCUUAACCCGGGAAUUGCAUCUGAUACUGGUCAGCUAGAGUCGUGUAGAGGGGGGUAGAAUUCCAUGUGUAGCGGUGAAAUGCGUAGAGAUGUGGAGGAAUACCGGUGGCGAAGGCGGCCCCCUGGACAAAGACUGACGCUCAGGUGCGAAAGCGUGGGGGGCAAACAGG